This 248-nucleotide unclassified non-coding RNA is filed under the name Hevea brasiliensis (rubber tree). The record is from RNAcentral. Lineage: Eukaryota; Viridiplantae; Streptophyta; Magnoliopsida; Malpighiales; Euphorbiaceae.
GAAACAAGAUGAAUCUUAUUGCUUGGAUAUGAUAGAGGAUACAACCUUUGAUACAUCAGAAGGCCACAAGCUACUUAAAAACAACUCUUGAGUUUAUGAUUUCCGACUCAGAACAGAGACUUUACGGGUCACUUCUGCCCGCUGUGGCGCAGAAUACCAUAUACAUCCACAACACCAGGAGGAAACACUGGAUCAGUAGCCGCCCUUACCGCAACCUUUGCCACUGCAGUGGCGCUCACGGGAGGAGU